CAGAACAUAGCUUAAACAAAGCACUUCGCUUACACCGAAGCGCCGUCUGUUAAACCGGACUGUUCUGAG
RNAcentral lists this transfer RNA (69 nucleotides) under Pristimantis versicolor (Loja robber frog). RNAcentral's name for it is "tRNA-Val". It matches the Rfam family "tRNA". From Rfam's summary of the family: Transfer RNA (tRNA) molecules are approximately 80 nucleotides in length. Their secondary structure includes four short double-helical elements and three loops (D, anti-codon, and T loops). Further hydrogen bonds mediate the characteristic L-shaped molecular structure. tRNAs have two regions of fundamental functional importance: the anti-codon, which is responsible for specific mRNA codon recognition, and the 3' end, to which the tRNAs corresponding amino acid is attached (by aminoacyl-tRNA synthetases). tRNAs cope with the degeneracy of the genetic code in two manners: having more than one tRNA (with a specific anti-codon) for a particular amino acid; and 'wobble' base-pairing, i.e. permitting non-standard base-pairing at the 3rd anti-codon position. The record is from RNAcentral. Lineage: Eukaryota; Metazoa; Chordata; Amphibia; Anura; Strabomantidae.